UACGUAGGGGGCGAGCGUUGUCCGGAUUUAUUGGGCGUAAAGCGCGUGUAGGCGGCCAGAUAGGUCUGCUGUGAAAACUCGAGGCUCAACCUCGAGAUGUCGGCGGAAACCGUCUGGCUAGAGUCCGGAAGAGGAGAGUGGAAUUCCUGGUGUAGCGGUGAAAUGCGCAGAUAUCAGGAAGAACACCUAUGGCGAAGGCAGCUCUCUGGGACGGUACUGACGCUGAGACGCGAAAGCGUGGGGAGCGAACAGG
RNAcentral lists this ribosomal RNA (253 nucleotides) under uncultured bacterium. Its description in RNAcentral is "partial 16S ribosomal RNA". It matches the Rfam family "Bacterial small subunit ribosomal RNA", at positions 524 to 776 of the family's 1533-position model. The record is from RNAcentral.